UUCCAGAGGAAUCGAGCACUGUUACUGUACGAUCAUCACUCAACAGAUGAAAACCCCUAUACUACACUAAAAUCCCAGAAAUACAAAAUCAUCUAAUUUCAAAACAACAAAUUCUACGAACCAAAUAACUGAAUAAUAACUCCACCCAAAAAAAUAAAAAAUUGCAAAAUUCCCAAUCCCUUCAAAAUCUCAAAUUGCAAACAAUAUAUCAAAUUUCAAAUCCACCAUAUUAAAUCUCAAACUAAGAGAGAGAGAGAGAGAGA
Molecule: unclassified non-coding RNA, 263 nt
Filed under: Hevea brasiliensis (rubber tree)
Lineage: Eukaryota; Viridiplantae; Streptophyta; Magnoliopsida; Malpighiales; Euphorbiaceae
Source: RNAcentral